This 329-nucleotide unclassified non-coding RNA is filed under the name soil metagenome. Its description in RNAcentral is "partial contains 5.8S ribosomal RNA, internal transcribed spacer 2, and large subunit ribosomal RNA". The stretch from base 1 to 120 matches the Rfam family "5.8S ribosomal RNA", at positions 35 to 154 of the family's 154-position model. The record is from RNAcentral.
GAUGAAGAACGUAGCGAAAUGCGAUAAGUAAUGUGAAUUGCAGAAUUCAGUGAAUCAUCGAAUCUUUGAACGCACAUUGCGCUCCCUGGUAUUCCGGGGAGCAUGCCUGUUCGAGCGUCAUUACAACCCUCAAGCUCUGCUUGGUGUUGGGCCCCGCCGCCCCGGCGGGCCCUAAAGUCGGUGGCGGUGCCGUCCGGCUCCGAGCGUAGUAAUUCUUCUCGCUCUGGAGGUCCGGUCGUGUGCUCGCCAGCAACCCCCAAUUUUUUUCAGGUUGACCUCGGAUCAGGUAGGGAUACCCGCUGAACUUAAGCAUAUCAAUAAGCGGAGGA